GUCGGAACUGUAUGCGCAGUCGCACUAAGGACAGAUGUGCUCAGAGGCAUGCCCUGUAACGUGUAUGAGCGGUCUGUCGUGCGGCAGGAAUAAGUUGUACAAAGUCCAUCUUAGACAUGUGUGUCAUGCAAGCUAGCAGCAUCCCAUGAGAAACGGGCCGAAGUGUUUAAGUGUUCACCGGAGUUUGCACCCUUGGCAAGCGGACUGAGGUAUGUGAUGAGAGGUGAUCUGUUGUUAUAUUUUAUUUAACCGAACUGUGUAACCCCUUGA
Long non-coding RNA from Oreochromis niloticus (Nile tilapia), 270 nucleotides. RefSeq lists it as uncharacterized. The record is from RefSeq and is a predicted model, not a curated record. The transcript is spliced from 2 exons. Lineage: Eukaryota; Metazoa; Chordata; Actinopteri; Cichliformes; Cichlidae.